UGGGAGGAAAGGGGGGAAGAGAGAGAGAGGGAGAGAGAGAAUAUCAGGAUUUAAGAGUGCAUGAAUUACCGCUCUACAUCGGGUUACGUAAGAGCUGCCGUCAGAACAGGGGAUCACAGGGAGCAGAGAGAGAGGGAAAGCAGAGAGGAAAUCAGAGAGAGAGAGAGAAGGGACAGAGGCAGAGAGUAAAGAGAGAGAGAAGAGGGAGAAAGAUAGAGAGAAAGGCAGGAAACAGAGAGAAAAAGCAGUGAGCAGAGAUUGCAGGGACAGGCAGAUUACAGAGAGGCUACGAUCCACAGCACACCAGCGACAUGGGCAACACACAGACCUCUUUGUGUCCACUGAGGGAGUGAAGAGACGAGACGAGGACUGGGAAGAGGACAGGACACUGCGAGAGGAAGUGAUUUGAAGAACAACUGUGUUUCUGCAGCUUUUGCUGGGACACCUUGAGUGGCGGAACGGUAAGGGACCAGCUGUGAGUGUCAUCUGGCCAUGAGAGAGUGAGGGAGAAAGGACAUCUACUGCCACUGAGGACAUCUUGGUAUCUUCCUCUCCUGCCUGUCCCCAUGUCUAGAGGAGGGAGGCCCCCGGGUGGGUGGGCCCUGAUGUGGCCCCUGACAUAUGCACUGGCCCUGGCUGCAUGCUCGUCGGUCAGCCCCCUCCUCCAAGAGACCACCUCGGAUCCUCCCAUUGCUACAGAGACACAGACUGAAGUACGGACACAGCCAGACCAUCAGACAGAGGCACAGACUGUGGCACAGACACAGACAGAACUACAGACACAGCCUAAGCUACAGACUGAGUCACCAACAGAGUUAGAGUCACAGGCAGCUACCAGUAACCACACAGGUCUGUUGUGUGUGUCCGUGCUUCCCCCGAGGCGCGGGUCAUUCUAUGUGGAGCAUGGGACAGGGGUGUCGGUGGGUACAGUGCUGGCCUUCUGGUGUAGGGAGGGCUACCAGCUGGUGGGCAGUGAUAAGAUCUCCUGCAGCGUCUGGGCAGGCAAACCCCAGUGGAGCAACUUCCUGCCAGUCUGUGAGGCCAUAUCGAUGCCAGAGGACCGGGGUCUGCGCGUGGCCGUGUUGGCCUCAGUGGUCAGUGGCAUCGUCAUCCUGGCAAUGUCUCUCUCCUUCAUCAUCUGCUGCCUGCAGGAACGCAUUGGGAAGGACAGGGCCACCAGGAGGGACGGCAGGAGCAGGCGUAGAGACGCGCAGUCUCGGCGUAGUGAGUGCUGGCUGGAGAGAGAGGAGGGGGACUGGGACACGUUCCCCCCUCCUAAGAUCUUCCACCUGUCACAGCGGCCGGACCUCCGGCUGGCUGCAGAAAGCCCUGUCUACCUGGGGGGCAUGGCCGGCUUCGACAACCGUGGAUACCAGAGGAGUCAGGAGAGCCUACUGAAGGCCCCGCUUCCUGGUCUGUUCCGGGCAGAGUCAGAUCAUCUACCCCCACCUAGUGCUCCAGAGAGUCCCCACCCCCACCGCCCCAACUGCCCCUGUCUACCUCCACAACAUGCCCUCCAACUCUGCCUCCAACUCCGGAUGUGCUCCCUCACAGCCACACCACAUGCCCCCAUAUCCUACCCCGCAGUAUCCUAUCCACAACUCCACCCCCCAGCGAGUUCCAUGGCAAAUGCAGCCCCAUUGAACUGUCACUGUCCCCUCGCUCUCUCCCUCUCUGGAGGUCAAGGGUCAAUGAGGAAGGAUCAAAUAACACACUAUUCCCUAAUAAGUGCGCUACGUUUGAGCAGAGCCCCAUGCAGCUAACCUCAUACAAGUUUUGGUCAAAAGUAAUGUACUACAUCGGGAAUAAGGUGUUAUUUGUGAUUUGAGAACAGCCCUCAGACCCCUGUCAGCAAGAUGCUUCUACUACUGCAAGAAUGGCUGGAUGGGACACGUGUUACUGUAUAUACUGUAUGAUAUGGACUGACAGACAGAGAGACCAGAGGGUCUUUUCCAGCACUUUCUGACUCCUUGCCUCUUCUCUCACUGAGGAAGCCCUGUCUACUGUUUCUAGUGUAUCUCUACACGGCAGAGGAGGUUUUUCUAUCUCUACCAUUCUCUCUGUGUCUCCUGUCAAGGCUUUUGUUAAUUUUGUGGUGUCCACCAUUUUCAGAAGAGCUAACUUCCUAUUAGUCUUCUGAUUGGUCAAAGUCACCCUCAGACCGGGCCUAUCAGGACACAUCCACUUGUUGAUGUCACUGACUGAAGACUGUGAGAUGUUGUUGGGCGGUGGUCACCAAGUCGCCACCGACCAAAGAAGAAAUGGACUUAGCUGAGGAAAGUGGAUACAGAAAUCAUCCCCAAUACCAUGUAUGGGUGUAUAAUAUAUUAUUCUUAUAGGUCUUCUUAAUAGUCAAAAUCAUGUUUUUCAUGAAAUUGGAUGAUAUUUGGAUGAAAGUAUGAUGACCAAAGUAUGAAAAAUGACUGUUUCGUCUACAUUGAUAAUGUUUGGAUUCUUGGAUUCAGGAAGCGGGAUUAUUAAGGGGAUAGGGUGACAUCACCCUAACUCUCUCAUUUUAAUACACCAAUGGUAACAUGAUAUUCUCUUACCUAAUUUAAAUACGUACCGCCUUGUAACCAGCAUGGAAGAAAGAAAGCGUGUUUGCAGAGGGGCGUGGUUAAUAUAGCUAGAUAGCUACUCUACUGGUUUUAGCUAGUCACUGGCUAGCUAGGUCCUCAGCCAGCGUGGAACUAAAGGGGGGACAGGUCGUUCAAAACUCUGACACAGUUGUCAUGUCAACACAUCCGUCAGUGCUGGUGUGAACCGCAGCACCAGAAACAUGCCAAACGGGAGAUGUAUGAAACAAAUACGUAUAUCAUUGAGGCAAUUUCAAUGUUGUUUGAGUAGCUUUGUGUAUCACUUCCUGGUAGUUAGCCAUGAAAGAAAAAGUAAUUUUCAAAAAUGUUGAGCAUUUAUAUCCCAAAAUAAUAUAAUGGGGGAUAUUUUUGUCACUCAAAAGGUUAUUUUACAUGGGAAUCAGAAUGACUGUUCAGGACAAGUUCACCCAUUAUUUUCCCCCAUUUGUUCUAAAGUUUUGCACUAAAACUUUGGAGAGCUCCUUACCUGUUGUUGAAGUCUUUGUCGUGCGUUUUUCUACGCUGAUAGGAGACUUGGAACAGUCACACCAACUAACCUGCACUUUAUGGAUUUUACUGACGAGCUGGCAAUAGCAAUUGCAAGAACCUUGCACUGACUAUUCCCGCAAUAUGUUUGUAUGAAAAAUGGUUUCUACCUGAAAACUGAUUAAAGAUAUUUUUGUUUAGUUGAA
Salmo salar (Atlantic salmon) is the source of this 3268-nucleotide RNA transcript. RefSeq lists it as uncharacterized. The record is from RefSeq and is a predicted model, not a curated record. Lineage: Eukaryota; Metazoa; Chordata; Actinopteri; Salmoniformes; Salmonidae.